Molecule: long non-coding RNA, 3503 nt
Filed under: Brassica napus (rape)
Lineage: Eukaryota; Viridiplantae; Streptophyta; Magnoliopsida; Brassicales; Brassicaceae
Description: long non-coding RNA (BNAP_LNC011567)
Source: RNAcentral
UAAAUCUUAUACCCGAAUUCAUAAUCUAUUCAUAUCAAAUAUUAACAUUAUGAUUUAAUUACAAAUAAAAAUACUAGUUGCAAACACACAAAAAAACUAAAUUAAAAUGUGUCUGAAUAUUUUUUUUUGUCAAACUGUCUAAAUAUCAUAAACACAAUAAGAAAUGAGACAUUUCUAUGUGUUGUCGUGUACUCACUCCCAUGUGUUUUCCCAUUGGCUGAUAAGAAAAUGCAAAAAAGAAGGUAAAUAUAUGAUUGGUCGAUAAAGAAAGACUUGGAUUGACUGAAACUACUCUCAACCGUUGAUUGUAACAUCCAUCUAAUGAACACAAUCAUUUGUGUUUCUUUCUUCUUCCUUUUUUUCUCCUUUCCUCUCUCCUUCCUCUGAUUUUUCUUCUUUCAUUCUACUCAUUCUCUGUAACAAUCGACUCAUGGCUUCACCUUCUCUUCGGUUUUACCUACUCACCAUAACCACCGCCCACCAGGCCACCUCUCUUCGUCUUCCUAUUCUCAGCUUUCACCUCCGCUAUUUCUAAUUGAUUUGUUUUGUUUUGUUUAUAGAUCUGAGGAGCAGUGAUGAAACUUCAAGGAGAAGGUGGGUGACGGAGCAGACAGUGAAGAAGACGAUGGUGAAGACGACAGUAUGACGAAGCAGAAACUUGACGGUGGUGGAUAAGAGAUCUUGACAGUGAAGAAGACGACGGUUAAGACAAUGGUGUCACGGAGAAGACGCUUGACAGCUGUGGUUUAAGAGAUCUUGACGGUGAAGAAGACGACGCAGGGGAAGCUCCACAGCUUUUUAGGCGGAGGAAGGCAGUGGUUGAACUUGACGGCAUAUAUACAUAUAUGGAUGUAUUUAUGUAUUUAUUUAUGCAUAAAUUUUUGUAAUAUAUACUUUGUUUUUUAAAUUAUAAAUAAUUAGUUUAAUAAUUUUGUUUUGUUUUUUAUUUUGUUAUAGCUACUGUUAAAUAGGGGUGAAAUCGUGGCUAUGUGUAGCUACCACUAAUUUGUGGCUAAACCGUUGCUAAAAUAGCCACGAAAAUACAGUAGCAAAACCGUGGCUGUUAGCCACGAAUAGCCAUGAUAUUUUUUUUAGCCACAAGGUUAUGACCACGGUUUUUUUUUCAUUCAGAAGCGUAGCUAUUUUUUGUAUAGCCACGAUUUUUAGCUUUAUAACCCCGAUAAUGUAAUGGCUAUGCAACAGAUUUUUACUAGUGAAUAUGCUCGUGCUCAGAAUUCAAAAAUUUUCCCUGUAAACUCUCUUAUUCCAGUAUGGUUAGCUCCCAAAGCUAACCUGUUUGAAUCAUCUUAAUAAAAACAUGGAGUUUGCCGUAAAAAAGAAAGAAAAAUAAUUAAAAGCAAACUAGUUUUAGGAGGAAUUAAGAUUUACAGGAAAAGUAUUAAAAGAAAGGAAAAGCCUGAUUCUGUUUUUGGUAUUAGGUAAACUAUUAUUAAAUGGGAAAAUUGGAUUCAGAAGCAAGGGUCAGCGCCAAAUGCGCUCAAGAUUCUUUGGGAAAUGUGAUAGUUUUAACCUCUUAUAUCAAAUAAUCAAAUUCGAUUAAUAGUAUUAAUAAUUAACAAUACAUAUCAGUACUAAUCGAAUAAUUCACUUUUGAUCUGCUUGGAUGUAUCGAAAAUGGCGUGUGUAAUAUCCGGUCAACAGUUCCCCCCUCUCUCUCUAUCUAGCAUUUGUUCUUUAUUCCAUAUUCCAUGUGUUUGUCUUCUCUUAGCUCGAGCUCCUCUUACAUUUUAAUUUGUUGUUUUUCUUUUGUUGCAAUUAUAUUAAAGAACUUGGGUUAAUUAGUGCAUUGGAGAAAUGUACGGUGUCUGCAAUACGCAACUGGUAUUUUAUUUGGUAACUUCUUUAAAUGCUUUAUUUGCUUACCAAGUUGUGUAGGAUUUUCUUUUUUUUAAACGUUGUGUAGGAUUUUCUUGAAGUCAACUAAAUAUCACCAUGAAAAUUUAAACAGAUAUCAUGUGCUAUGCUGCAUCUCUUAGAAAAUUAAUUUAUUAAAUAUCGGUUAAAGAACUUGUUAAAGAUUGAUGGUUCUUGGCCAUUUCAGUUUUUUUUUGGGUUCCGAUUCGUGCAUUUUACAUUAUAGUCUAGUAAUACUGGUUUAGCUAUUUCUUGGCAUUAGUCAAAAUGCAUUCUAAACUCUCGUUAGAUAGUGUGAUAAUCAGUCAAUUCUAUAAUAUCAAAUGCAUUAACGUUCUUCAUAAGAUCGUCUGAAUCAGCCGAUAUUGUAUAUUAGAAAAGAGUUUAAACAAACAUAACCUAUAAAGUGGAUUAUUCACAUGUAUGAGUUUUUAUAUAUAAUUACAGUUCAAACAAAUUACAUUCAUAUUUAAAACAAGCCAAUAAUAAUUAUAAUAAAUAUUCAUAUCUUGGAUUUUUGGCCCAAAUCUUGGCCCAAAUAUAGUAGUUUUGUAAAAUUCAUUGUUAUUAAUUUUAAAUCAGUGCCUGUUUCACUUGAAAAUAAUUUAAAUAUUUGUGGAAAAAAAUAUUAUAGGAUAUUAGCUUGAAGAAAUAUUCGCAAUCCAGUUUUUAGAAUGUGAUGGUAUAGAUACACCAACAUAAUUUCUUCUAAUCAUGACGAUGAUGAUGAUGAUGAUCACGGUUGUCAUCAAUUAACUGUUCAUAAAUCCCCCUGAAAUUCAACUUUUUCUACGAAUAUUUUUGGGGUUAAAGUGUUCAACGUUAUUUGUAUUAAAUAAUUAAAAAAACAAAAGAGUGGACCACACAGAGAAAGGUACAGUUUCAUGAAAAUGGAAAUAACAAAACUAAAAUGCUUCCGUCUUAACAUUCCUUGUUUUUUGACUCUUUCAUUCUAAAACUGCCUUUUCUGGUCAUUUUCUUGUCAGCUCCUACAUAAGAAUAAACUAUAUUCUGUUUACUCACCAAAAGAUGUCUUUAUCUCAAAGUCGUAAUUACCCAUCUUAUUUUCAUUAUAGACAGCAUUGAUGAGAUUGGUUUGGUUUGUGACGUAUUAUGUUUCUAUGGCCGUGUUCCAGUUUUCAGAGGCAUCUAUAUUGUUAUGUGGACUCGCGAUAAUGAUAUAUUGAAAAACUUUCAAACACUAGAAUUUUAUAUAUAUAUAUAUAUAUAUAUAUAUAUAUUUUUGAAUUUUAUUGGUAUUGGGAUAAAUGUUCAUUACGUCAGCAAUUGAAAUGUGUCGGACAACUUUUUGUGCACCAUGCAAGUAUAAAAGACAGAAGAUCCGAAUAGUGUAAGUUGCUAUGUAUUUAAUUUUUGGAGUGACGUUAUAAAAAAAAAUUAAUUUUUGGAAUGUGGGGAGUCUAAUGAUUUUAGAGUAGAGACUGUAACAUUUAAAUGUGCAGUUUUUAAGUCUACACCAGAUGACCCAAACCAAACCAACCAGAUUUGAGUUGGAAGAUACAAAAUACUUAUAAAAUAUUUGAAUAGUUCGUAACUCAAAAUAUUUUGGAUAUUCGGAUCAAACCCAAAAGUGGUUCGGGGUGUAUGAUAUACUUUUUUUUUUAAAA